CAGUAACAGCUAUCAGCCAAUCAGCAGCAGACCCUCCCUCCCAGACCCUUCCACCUCCUGGACAGCAUCCAUUUUGAAGCUGCAUUCUUAGUGAGUUGUCCAGGAGGUGGGAGGGUCUGGGAGGGAGGGUCUGCUGCUGAUUGGCUGGAAUGUGUCUG
RNAcentral lists this microRNA precursor (158 nucleotides) under Pelobates cultripes (western spadefoot toad). Lineage: Eukaryota; Metazoa; Chordata; Amphibia; Anura; Pelobatidae. The record is from RNAcentral.